CUUUACUGUACCUUUGUUGCUUCGGCGGGCCCGCCAUUCAUGGCCGCCUGGGGCUCUCAGCCCCGGGCCCGCGCCCGCCGGAGACACCACGAAAUCUGUCUGAUCUAGUGAAGUCUGAGUUUAUUGUAUCGCAAUCAGUAAAACUUUCACCAAUGGAUCUCUUGGUUCCGGCAUCGAUGAAGAACGCAGCAAAAUGCGAUAACUAGUGUGAAUUGCAGAAUUCCGUGAAUCAUCGAUUCUUUGAACGCACAUUGCGUCCCCUGGUAUUCCGGGGGGCAUGCCUGUCCGAGCGCCAUUGCUGCCCAUCAAGCACGGCUUGUGUGUUGGGUCGUCGUCCCCUUUCCGGGGGGGACGGGCCCCAAAGGCAGCGGCGGCACCGGGUCCGAUCCUCGAGCGUAUGGGGCUUUGUCACCCGCUCUGUAGGCCCGGCCGGCGCUUGCCGAACGCAAAUCAUUCUUUUUCGAGGUUGACCUCGGAUCAGGU
Molecule: small RNA, 483 nt
Filed under: Aspergillus flavus
Lineage: Eukaryota; Fungi; Ascomycota; Eurotiomycetes; Eurotiales; Aspergillaceae
Description: eukaryotic LSU rRNA
Rfam family: 5.8S ribosomal RNA (bases 142-295)
Source: RNAcentral